Callithrix jacchus (white-tufted-ear marmoset) is the source of this 3785-nucleotide non-coding RNA. The record is from RefSeq and is a predicted model, not a curated record. Lineage: Eukaryota; Metazoa; Chordata; Mammalia; Primates; Cebidae.
UGCUGCUAUUGGGAGGAUAGAUCAAGGGCAACUUGAAUCUAUGCUUCUGGGUUGCAGUCCUCAAAUCUGGCCCAAGUAAACUAUCAACUCAGCAUGAAUUUUCCUUUAGGUCGAUAUAGCAGGAUUCAGAGUGAAUCCUCCACAGCAACCACCCAUUGUUUUCCUCUGAAGGCAGUGCCUGGUACUAGCAAAAACCCAUUGCGUUCUCCAUCUUCGGACGUCUCAUCGUGGUUGCAGGGGGAGAAAUCAAGACCCUAACAGAGGCCUGACCUGGUUACUCAGCAAUGCUGUGGCAGAAACACACGCACGAGUUCCCGGCUUCUGAUUCACAGGCCAAGAUGUUGCCUUAGCAUUCCCCAUGUUGAUUCAGAGAGUGGUAAUGAAAGUGGGCAAAACAGUGAUCCAAGCACAGGCCCCAGCUGAUGAAGUGGACUGAAACGCUGAAUCCUGAACACUGACGAUCACUACAGCAAAGGGAGGAGCUCAGUAAGCUGCAUAUCGUUCUUAAACCUUCCACCCAAGAGUAACACUUCCGCUUCAUUCUGUUGACCACAGUAAAUCAUAUGGUUGUGCCUGACUUCAAAGAGUAUAAGGACAUACAAUCCUACCAUGUACUGGAAGGAAAUCCAGAAGAUUCUUAAAGAGACCUAAUGACUCUCACAGUCCCAGAACUGCUUCCAUCUCCCGCAGAAGCCGCCACGUGAAUGUGAUGUGUAUCUAGACCCUAUUUUAUAUUUUUACUACAAAUACACUGUACUAUAGAUGGUAUUCAUUUGCAUAUUUUAUAAAAUAUUGUUAAUGGGAUCAUCCUUUUAUAAUAUUCUACAAUUUUUAGUCAAUAUUUUAUUUUCAGGAUUUAUCAAUGCUGAAUCAUAGAUCUAAUUCAUUGAUUUAAACUGUUACAUGGAAUUCCACAUUAGGUAAUUUAUUUAUCUCUUCUCCUACAAAUGAACAAACUAUUUCCAAUUUCUUAUUAUUGCUAAUAGUGAGGUAUUAUAAAUGUGUUUGAGAGAUUCCUUUGCAGUCUUUCUCAACUGGGUUUAACAAGACAAAUUCUGGCCAGGCACGGUGGCUCAUGCCUGUAGUCUUAGCACUUUGGGAGGUGGAGAUGGGCGGAUCAUGAGGUUAGGAGUUUGAGACCAGCCUGACCAAUAUGGUGAAACCCCGUCUCUACUAAAAACACAAAAAUUAGCUGAGUGUGGUGGUGGAUGCCUGUAAUCCCAACCGCUCAGGAGGUUGAGGCAGGAGAAUCAGCUUGAGCCUGGGGGGUGGAGGUUGCAGUGAGCUGAGAUGGUGCCAUUGCCCUCCAGCCUGGGUGACAGAGAGAGACUCUGUCUCCUCAAAAAACAAAAAACAAAACAAUACAAGGCAAACUCUAAUGCCGUAAUGCAACCACUGUAUGUGAUAACUUCUCCUAUGCAUCUGGAAUGAUGCUGGUUAUGUACCAUCCUUGGGAGUGUUGAGAAAAUAAUCAUUCAAACAAUUUUCUAUGUACUAUGGUUCAGAAGAAGAAUUUCAGUUGAGAAAAGUUGCUUGGAAUAUGACUAGAAGUGGAUUGCAAGGUCUUAGACUAUGGACAUGUUCAACUUUUCUAGAUAUUGUCAAAUUAUUCUCACAGAUGACCUUGUCAUUUAUACUUCUGCCAGAUGUGCAUGACAGUUCUCAUUUUCUUUUCUUUUUGAGAUGGAGUCUCUGUUGCCCAGGUUGGAGUGCAAUGGCACAGUCUCAGCUCACUGCAACCUCCACCUAAUAGGUUCAAGUGAUUCUCCUGCCUCAGCUUCCAGAGUAGCUGGGAUUACAGGCUCCCACCACCACACCUGGCUAAUUUUUGUAUUUCUAGUAAAGACAGUGUUUCACCAUAUCGGCCAGGCUGGUCUUGAACUCCUGACCUUGCGAUCUGCCCACCUCAGCCUCCCAAUGUGCUGGGAUUACAGGUGUAAGCCACCAUGCCUGGCCUCAUUUUUACACAUCUUUGUCAACAUUUGCUAUUGUCAAACAUUUUACUUUCCGGCCAGUUCCGUGGGUGUGAAAUUGUAUCCUAUUGUUUUUAAACUGCAUGUCCCUGGUUGCUAGUGAGUGGAGCCUUUUUUCCACAUUUGGCCAUUGAGUUUCUUUUUCUGCACAGUACUGUUUAUAUUCUUUGCCCAUUUCUUUGCUGGGCUGUUUAGGUUUUUCCUAUUGAUUUUUAGUAGCUCUUUUUUUUUUUUUUUUGAGACAGAGUUUCACUCUUGUUGCCCAGGCUGGAGUGCAAUCUUGGCUCAGUGCAACCUCUGCCUCCAGGGUUCAAGCGAUUCUCCUGCCUCAGCCUCCCGAGUAGCUGGCAUUAUAGGCACGUGCCACCAUGCCCAGCUAGUUUUUUUUUUUUUUGAGACGGAGUUUCGCUCUUGUUACCCAGGCUGGAGUGCAAUGGUGCAAUCUCGGCCCACCGCAACCUCCGCCUCCUUGCCUCAGCCUCCCAAGUAGCUGGGACUACAGGCAUGUGCCACCAUGCCCAGCUAAUUUUUGUAUUUUUAAUAGAGACGGGGUUUCACCACGUUGACCAGGAUGGUCUUGAUCUCUUGACCUCGUGAUCCACCUGCCUCGGCCUCCCAAAGUGCUGGGACUACAGGCAUGAGCCACCGUGCUUGGCUCUUUAGUAGCUCUUUAUACCUUUUGAAUCUAACACUUUAUCCAUUUUGUCUGUUAUACAUGUGGCCAUCUCCAGGUGAUUCUGGUAUAUCCUUUCCGUACGUAUCAACCACAAUCACCAGCCAUUCUUUCUGUCGUUGUUUAUGAGACAGGAUCUUCUCACCCUGUUGCCCAGGCUGGAGAACAGUGGUGAUCUUGACUCACUGCAACCCCACCGCCCAGGCUCAAGCAAUUCUCCUGCCUCAGCUCCCCAAGUGGCUGGGACUACAGGCACAUGCCAGCACACCUGGCUAAUUUUUGUAUUUUUUGUAGAGACAAGGUUUUGCCAUGUUGCCCAGAUUGGUCUUGAACUUCUGAACUCAGGUGAUCCACUUGCCUCGGCUUCCCAAAGUGCUAGGAAUACAGGCGUGAGCCACUGCGCCUGGGCCACAGCCACCAUUCUAUCUCUAACAUUUUAUGUAUCUGUGUCAUGAUUUUACAUACAUGUAUAUCUAAGCCUAGGACAUUUUAAGCCAGAUAGCGAGAGUUUUACUAAAUAUAUUGAUGUGGCUAGGUGCAUUGGCUCACACUUGUAAUCCCAACACUUUGGGAGGCCAAGGCAGGAGGAUCACUUGAGCCCAGGAUUUUGUCACCAGCCUAGGUGACAUAGCAAGACGCUGUUUCUACAAAAAAUAAAGCACACAGAAAACAAAAAAACUGUUUUAAAUUAAAAAAAAUUUGAAAUGAAAAAUAUAGAGACUCAUUUUAUAUAUUCUUCUAUCCCUAAGAAACCCCCUCUGUGAACGGAGGAUGUAUUCUGUACUUGCCUGAAUUGCAAGGAAUGUUUGAAUGGCUAGAUGUGGACAAGGUCUGUGUUGGGUUAAGCACAGUUAUUGUCAUCCAAAGAUCAGCCAGUCCAAAUACCCUUCUCACAGCGAACUUCUUCGACCUAGCAGGCAAUGGAAGUGUUCAAAAUAAGCUGACCAGCUCCUUAAAUGAAACUGAAUUUGUGGCUACUCUCUAACAGACCAAGGCUGAGCCAAUCGUGCCCUAUGCUCAUGAAUUGGCAGUAGUCUCUUGCAAAGGGACCAUGAGCUGAAAAGACAUUCUAAGUGCAAAAAUAGUGUAGUAAUUACAAGAGUAAGUGGAGAGUCAUCAUCAUUAUUAAAACAUCAUCA